CACGUAGGGCGCAAGCGUUGUCCGGAAUUAUUGGGCGUAAAGAGCUCGUAGGUGGUUUGUUACGUCUGCUGUGAAAACCUAGGGCUUAACCCUGGGCUUGCAGUGGAUACGGGCAGACUAGAGGUAGGUAGGGGAGAAUGGAAUUUCUGGUGUAGCGGUGAAAUGCGCAGAUAUCAGGAGGAACACCGGUGGCGAAGGCGGUUCUCUGGGCCUUACCUGACACUGAGGAGCGAAAGCAUGGGGAGCGAACAGG
RNAcentral lists this ribosomal RNA (253 nucleotides) under uncultured bacterium. RNAcentral's name for it is "partial 16S ribosomal RNA". It matches the Rfam family "Bacterial small subunit ribosomal RNA", at positions 524 to 776 of the family's 1533-position model. The record is from RNAcentral.